AGUGAACGCUGGCGGUAGGCCUAACACAUGCAAGUCGAACGGCAGCACAGUAAGAGCUUGCUCUUACGGGUGGCGAGUGUCGGACGGGUGAGGUAUACAUCGGAAUCUACUUUUUCGUGGGGGAUAACGUAGGGAAACUUACGCUAAUACCGCAUACGACCUACGGGUGAAAGCAGGGGAUCUUCGGACCUUGCGCGAUUGAAUGAGCCGAUGUCGGAUUAGCUAGUUGGCGGGGUAAAGGCCCACCAAGGCGACGGUCCGUAGCUGGUCUGAGAGGAUGGUCAGCCACACUGGAACUGAGACACGGUCCAGACUCCUACGGGAGGCAGCAGUGGGGAAUAUUGGACAAUGGGGGCGAGCCUGAUCCAGCCAUACCGCGUGGGUGAAGAAGGCCUUCGGGUUGUAAAGCCCUUUUGUUGGGAAAGAAAAGCAGCAGGUUAAUCCCCCGCUGUUCUGACGGUACCCAAAGAAUAAGCACCGGCUAACUUCGUG
This 492-nucleotide ribosomal RNA is filed under the name uncultured bacterium. Its description in RNAcentral is "partial 16S ribosomal RNA". It matches the Rfam family "Bacterial small subunit ribosomal RNA", at positions 29 to 507 of the family's 1533-position model. The record is from RNAcentral.